This is a long non-coding RNA of Populus euphratica (Euphrates poplar), 192 nucleotides long. RefSeq lists it as uncharacterized. The transcript has 2 exons. NCBI's taxonomy places the organism in Eukaryota, Viridiplantae, Streptophyta, Magnoliopsida, Malpighiales, Salicaceae. The record is from RefSeq and is a predicted model, not a curated record.
GCUAAGAAUACAACCAUAUAAAAUGGCCACCUUUACUUCAUGUCUAUGAGCUUGUUUGGAUUUUAGCUAUGGAAAUGUUCUUGAAGGGGGAGGAGAGAGAGAAUGUAGGGAACUUAGAAACACACUUGGGCGAAGGAUCCAAUGCCACAUAUAUAGAUUCAGGCAUUGACAUAAACUCACUCUCUCUAUCAA